RNAcentral lists this ribosomal RNA (274 nucleotides) under uncultured bacterium. RNAcentral describes it as "partial 16S ribosomal RNA". It matches the Rfam family "Bacterial small subunit ribosomal RNA", at positions 523 to 796 of the family's 1533-position model. The record is from RNAcentral.
AUACGGAGGGUGCAAGCGUUACUCGGAAUCACUGGGCGUAAAGCGCGCGCAGGCGGCUAUUUAAGUUGGAUGUGAAAGCCUACAGCUCAACUGUAGAACUGCAUCCAAAACUAUUUAGCUAGAGUGUGGGAGAGGAAGAUGGAAUUAGUUGUGUAGGGGUAAAAUCCGUAGAGAUAACUAGGAAUACCAAAAGCGAAGGCAAUCUUCUGGAACACUACUGACGCUGAGGCGCGAAAGCGUGGGGAGCAAACGGGAUUAGAAACCCUAGUAGUCC